Molecule: RNase P RNA, 412 nt
Filed under: Acetobacter thailandicus
Lineage: Bacteria; Pseudomonadati; Pseudomonadota; Alphaproteobacteria; Acetobacterales; Acetobacteraceae
Also listed under: 1 other name
Description: RNase P RNA component class A
Rfam family: Bacterial RNase P class A
About the family: Ribonuclease P (RNase P) is a ubiquitous endoribonuclease, found in archaea, bacteria and eukarya as well as chloroplasts and mitochondria. Its best characterised activity is the generation of mature 5'-ends of tRNAs by cleaving the 5'-leader elements of precursor-tRNAs.
Source: RNAcentral
CCAGGCGGUUGGACGGUCGCUGCUCUGCUUUGCAGAGGAGAGGAAAGUCCGGGCUCCACGGGAGAACGGUGCCGGUUAACUGCCGGCGAGGGCGACCUUAGGGAAAGUGCCACAGAAAACAAACCGCCUUCCGGGUUUUUUCAUGGGAAACCAUGGGACAAACUGAAGGUAAGGGUGAAACGGUGCGGUAAGAGCGCACCGCUCAGCUGGUAACAGCCGAGGCAUGGUAAACCCCACCGGGAGCAAAACCGAAUAGGGACAGCAGAAACCCCGCAAGGGCGUUUCAGAGGUUCUUCCGCCUCGCUGUCCGGGUUGGUUGCUUGAGGUAUGCUGCAAGGCAUAUCCUAGAAGAAUGACCGUCCAGGCUCCUUACGGAGCCGGACAGAACCCGGCUUACAGACCGCCUGGAUUA